CUAGUGGUUGUGUUCUGAGGGAGAAAAACUAAUCUUUUCUCUUUCCACUGCAUUCUAGGAACAGUAAGAGGACCUUGUGAGUGAAUAAUUUGUUUCCACAUUACAGAGUGGGUAAUAAGCAGAUUAGUAAAAACAAUUCUGCUUCACUUCAAUAACAGCCUCCUCCAACUCAUUUUUUCUCAACAAACUUAUUUUUCCAGCAGAAGAAUCCCAGACUUCUUAGAGAACCCAGUGACUUUUUGCACCUUAAAUCUGUGAAAUCCUCAUGUUUUCUUCUGCUGUA
Molecule: long non-coding RNA, 283 nt
Filed under: Homo sapiens (human)
Lineage: Eukaryota; Metazoa; Chordata; Mammalia; Primates; Hominidae
Description: non-protein coding lnc-CYP2E1-10:1
Source: RNAcentral